This 429-nucleotide ribosomal RNA is filed under the name Streptomyces sp. RNAcentral's name for it is "bacterial SSU rRNA". It matches the Rfam family "Bacterial small subunit ribosomal RNA", at positions 60 to 508 of the family's 1533-position model. Lineage: Bacteria; Bacillati; Actinomycetota; Actinomycetes; Kitasatosporales; Streptomycetaceae. The record is from RNAcentral.
AGUCGACGGUGAGCCUUUCGGGGUGGAUCAGUGGCGAACGGGUGAGUAACACGUGGGCAAUCUGCCCUGCACUCUGGGACAAGCCCUGGAAACGGGGUCUAAUACCGGAUAUUACCUGAGGGGGCAUCUUCUCGGGUGGAAAGCUCCGGCGGUGCAGGAUGAGCCCGCGGCCUAUCAGCUUGUUGGUGGGGUGAUGGCCUACCAAGGCGACGACGGGUAGCCGGCCUGAGAGGGCGACCGGCCACACUGGGACUGAGACACGGCCCAGACUCCUACGGGAGGCAGCAGUGGGGAAUAUUGCACAAUGGGCGAAAGCCUGAUGCAGCGACGCCGCGUGAGGGAUGACGGCCUUCGGGUUGUAAACCUCUUUCAGCAGGGAAGAAGCGCAAGUGACGGUACCUGCAGAAGAAGCACCGGCUAACUACGUGC